Helianthus annuus (common sunflower) is the source of this 587-nucleotide long non-coding RNA. RefSeq lists it as uncharacterized. The record is from RefSeq and is a predicted model, not a curated record. The transcript is spliced from 3 exons. Lineage: Eukaryota; Viridiplantae; Streptophyta; Magnoliopsida; Asterales; Asteraceae.
GAGCAGUGACCUAUGGUUUCGAUAAAGGGAUUAAAGCAAUGGCUGAGCAAUUAUCUAGGGUUCUGACCAAGGAGUUCAAGUGAUAUUUUCAGGAAUGGGCCACAAGACGGAAGAAACUCAAUGUAGGAUGGUACUUAUGGUAAAACUUGCCCGGUCCCACUGGGCAACAAUUUUACAUACAUGCUUCAAGCGAAGGAUCAGAUUGGUAGCUUCUUCUGCUUCCUGUGACCUGGCCUUCAAAAGGCCGCCAGAGGCUAUGGCGGCACGAAAAUCUACAGUCGCCCUCGGAUCCGGUCCUCUUUCCUUUCCCUGCCAGAGAUCAAACUGUUCUUGCUAGUGAUUGGUAAAAAAAGGCCACCAGAGACCAAGACACACAUAGGGCAUGGGUGAAAGCUUUCUUCUUCUUAUGGACUUGUCAUCAAUGGGCGUGGCUCGAAUGGUUACACAUUCGAAGUCAAACAAGGUAGUUAGAAUUUUUUUAUAUUGUACAAUGUUUUCAGACUUGGCCACAUAGUCGGUCCGGUUGAGUCUAUUUGAACCAGCCGGAAACCGUCCAGAGCGCUUGAACCGGCAAACCACACCGGUGG